This 497-nucleotide ribosomal RNA is filed under the name uncultured bacterium. RNAcentral describes it as "partial 16S ribosomal RNA". It matches the Rfam family "Bacterial small subunit ribosomal RNA", at positions 28 to 507 of the family's 1533-position model. The record is from RNAcentral.
GAUGAACGCUGGCGGCGUGCCUAAUACAUGCAAGUCGAGCGAACAGAUAAGGAGCUUGCUCCUUUGACGUUAGCGGCGGACGGGUGAGUAACACGUGGGUAACCUACCUAUAAGACUGGGAUAACUUCGGGAAACCGGAGCUAAUACCGGAUAACAUUUGGAACCGCAUGGUUCUAAAGUGAAAGAUGGUUUUGCUAUCACUUAUAGAUGGACCCGCGCCGUAUUAGCUAGUUGGUAAGGUAACGGCUUACCAAGGCGACGAUACGUAGCCGACCUGAGAGGGUGAUCGGCCACACCGGAACUGAGACACGGUCCAGACUCCUACGGGAGGCAGCAGUAGGGAAUCUUCCGCAAUGGGCGAAAGCCUGACGGAGCAACGCCGCGUGAGUGAUGAAGGGUUUCGGCUCGUAAAACUCUGUUAUUAGGGAAGAACAAACGUGUAAGUAACUGUGCACGUCUUGACGGUACCUAAUCAGAAAGCCACGGCUAACUACGUG